This 200-nucleotide ribosomal RNA is filed under the name uncultured bacterium. RNAcentral's name for it is "partial 16S ribosomal RNA". It matches the Rfam family "Bacterial small subunit ribosomal RNA", at positions 29 to 257 of the family's 1533-position model. The record is from RNAcentral.
AAUGAACGUUGGCGGCGUGGAUUAGGCAUGCAAGUCGAACGAGACCUUCGGUCUAGUGGCGCACGGGUGCGUAACGCGUGGGAAUCUGCCCUUGGGUUCGGAAUAACAGUUGGAAACGACUGCUAAUACCGGAUGAUGACGAAAGUCCAAAGAUUUAUCGCCCAGGGAUGAGCCCGCGUAGGAUUAGCUAGUUGGUGAGG